Molecule: long non-coding RNA, 686 nt
Filed under: Equus caballus (horse)
Lineage: Eukaryota; Metazoa; Chordata; Mammalia; Perissodactyla; Equidae
Description: lncRNA (ENSECAG00000045371.1)
Source: RNAcentral
CAAAAGUGAUGCUGUGGCAGUGUCUUGCCCAGACUUAUGAUAGUGGGGGCUUCCAUUCCUGUCUUUUGGAACACUUGCCCCUGGAAGUCUGAGCCUUCAUGUAAGAAGUUUGGCUACUCUGCUGGAGAGGCCUCCUGGAGAGUACCCAAGAAUCUACCAAAAGGAGGUGGAGGUUGGCUCACGCAUCAGGCAUGUGAGUGAAGCUAUCUUGGACCCUCCAGCCCAGUCUAGCUGCCUGCUGAAUAUCACUGAGUGACCCAGUUCCUUAGGAAAUCCCACCAUUGUCUGAUUGGGAAGGAAUGGCUUUCCCGACUGGUGCGACUAGGAAGAUCAUCCUCUGAAGGAAAAAACCCAGACGUUCUGUCUCCAAUAGAUUCCCAGUAUUCCCACCGUCCCAGCCUGUGGAGCUCCAUGCUUGUACCUUGUGCACUUUCUGAAUAACAAAGGUGCACUGGUUUUCGGCAGCACAGUGAGGACAGAAAGUAUUCCGUCUGUUUCAUUCAAGUGGAGUGAAAACUUGAAGAGCUGUGAGGUAAUUUACAGGUACUGACCAUAGCAUAAGUAAGCGGUCCUCUCUGCCAAGAUCAAGAACUGAAGCAAGUAGGAAGUAGCUGCCAAAAGUGCUGAGUCUAGGACCACACGGUUUCAACCCCAUCCACGCCGGACCUGGGGACAUUUGAUACUGU